Long non-coding RNA from Scylla paramamosain (green mud crab), 1295 nucleotides. RefSeq lists it as uncharacterized. Lineage: Eukaryota; Metazoa; Arthropoda; Malacostraca; Decapoda; Portunidae. The transcript has 2 exons. The record is from RefSeq and is a predicted model, not a curated record.
AGAGUCCUGGGGCUUCUCCCACCAACAGCUUGACGAGAAGGAAGGAAUGGGUCAGGUUAGGUUAGGUUAGUAAGGAAGACAGGCCCCCAAUAUAAGUAACCUAACUGAAUCUAACCUAAUAUAUCAGAAUAAGGUAGGAUAUAAGAGGUUGGUUGGAGUGACUCGCAGAUGUACGCACCUCUGAAAAAGACGAGAGAAAGUCCUCAUUAGUUCGGCUCAAAAUUUGUACUUUAUUCAUGUUUUUUUUGCUUAUUUUCAUUUUAUCAAGCAGUAUAUGUCAAGGUUCUGGCUGUCACAGUACAUCACGUCUGGCCAGCCCAUACAUGUGGAAUACAAUCAAUAAUAUACACAAGAUUGCUUUAUAACACACAAACACACAUACAGUAACUAUAUUGAUAAUUAAUUUGCAAGCAGGCAGGCAGAUACUUCACAAUUAACAUUAAUUCAUACACACACACACACACACACACACACACUCACAGUAUCCACAAGUAUAACUGACUACAUUGAUCAUUUUAACUGGUAGGCAGACAGACAGACAGACAGACAGACAGACAGACAGGAGGAGGAGGAGGAGAACAAAUGCUGAUAAUUAUUCCUGAUUACACAAGGAUGACAUAGGAAGGAUGACUGGACACUAUUGUACCUCAGAAGGGUGACUAAGAGGGGGUCAGGUGGAGGUCUUCAAGUGGUACAGGGGACACAACAAGGGUGACUAAGAGGGGGUCUGGUGGAGGUCUUCAAGUGGUACAGGGGACACAACAAGGGUGACUAAGAGGGGGUCAGGUGGAGACCAAGUGGUACAGGGGACACAACAAGGGUGACUAAGAGGGGGUCUGGUGGAGGUCUUCAAGUGGUACAGGGGACAUGACAAGGGUGACUAAGAGGGGGUCUGGUGGAGGUCUUCAAGUGGUACAGGGGACACAACAAGGGUGACUAAGAGGGGGUCUGGUGGAGGUCUUCAAGUGGUACAGGGGACACAACAAGGGUGACUAAGAGGGGGUCUGGUGGAGGUCUUCAAGUGGUACAGGGGACACAACAAGGGUGACUAAGAGGGGGUCUGGUGGAGGUCUUCAAGUGGUACAGGGGACACAACAAGGGUGACUAAGAGGGGGUCUGGUGGAGGUCUUCAAGUGGUACAGGGGACACAACAAGGGUGACUAAGAGGGGGUCUGGUGGAGGUCUUCAAGUGGUACAGGGGACAUGACGAGUAACAAAAUCUCUCUCUCUCUCUCUCUCUCUCUCUCUCUCUCUCUCUCUCUCUCUCUCUCUCACACACACACACACACACACAA